AUUGAACGCUGGCGGCAGGCCUAACACAUGCAAGUCGAACGGUAACAGGGAUCAGCUUGCUGAUUCGCUGACGAGUGGCGGACGGGUGAGUAAUGUCUGGGAAACUGCCUGAUGGAGGGGGAUAACUACUGGAAACGGUAGCUAAUACCGCAUAACGUCGCAAGACCAAAGAUGGGGACCUUCGGGCCUCUUGCCAUCGGAUGUGCCCAGAUGGGAUUAGCUAGUAGGUGGGGUAACGGCUCACCUAGGCGACGAUCCCUAGCUGGUCUGAGAGGAUGACCAGCCACACUGGAACUGAGACACGGUCCAGACUCCUACGGGAGGCAGCAGUGGGGAAUAUUGCACAAUGGGCGCAAGCCUGAUGCAGCCAUGCCGCGUGUAUGAAGAAGGCCUUCGGGUUGUAAAGUACUUUCAGCGGGGAGGAAGGGAGUAAAGUUAAUACCUUUGCUCAUUGACGUUACCCGCAGAAGAAGCACCGGCUAACUCCGUG
This 490-nucleotide ribosomal RNA is filed under the name uncultured bacterium. RNAcentral describes it as "partial 16S ribosomal RNA". It matches the Rfam family "Bacterial small subunit ribosomal RNA", at positions 30 to 507 of the family's 1533-position model. The record is from RNAcentral.